RNAcentral lists this transfer RNA (74 nucleotides) under Enterococcus faecalis. RNAcentral describes it as "tRNA-Ile". It matches the Rfam family "tRNA". From Rfam's summary of the family: Transfer RNA (tRNA) molecules are approximately 80 nucleotides in length. Lineage: Bacteria; Bacillati; Bacillota; Bacilli; Lactobacillales; Enterococcaceae. The record is from RNAcentral.
GGGCGUAUAGCUCAGCUGGUUAGAGCGCACGCCUGAUAAGCGUGAGGUCGAUGGUUCGAGUCCAUUUAGGCCCA